UGGUUCGUAGCUCAACUGGUCAGAGUACCGGUCUUUUAAACCGGGAGUUGUGAGUUCGAUUCUCACCGGGCCAACCA
RNAcentral lists this transfer RNA (77 nucleotides) under Chitinophaga cymbidii. Its description in RNAcentral is "tRNA-Lys". It matches the Rfam family "tRNA". From Rfam's summary of the family: Transfer RNA (tRNA) molecules are approximately 80 nucleotides in length. Their secondary structure includes four short double-helical elements and three loops (D, anti-codon, and T loops). The record is from RNAcentral. Lineage: Bacteria; Pseudomonadati; Bacteroidota; Chitinophagia; Chitinophagales; Chitinophagaceae.